Long non-coding RNA from Ornithodoros turicata, 397 nucleotides. RefSeq lists it as uncharacterized. The transcript is spliced from 3 exons. The record is from RefSeq and is a predicted model, not a curated record. Lineage: Eukaryota; Metazoa; Arthropoda; Arachnida; Ixodida; Argasidae.
GUGCGUUACAAUACAAAGUUACGAGCACCCAACGUUAACCGAAAGAAACCACCAGUGCAAAUACUCGUCGAAAACCUCAGUGCACUGAGGAGGAAACACAGGCAUAGCCUUUGUGAGAACAAGGCCCUGGCAAAGAGCUUGGCAGCCGCUAGACAGGAGUUGACGGAGCAGUGCGAGCUGAUGAAGCACAAACGGGAAAUCUUUAGCAUCCACUUGCCCAGGGUAAGGAGAUGGGUGCAAGAGAGUUCGAAAGCCCUGCAAACGGUCAUGACGAACCACAUCAAUGUGGUGAAUCUGCUCAGCCAGAUCCUGGAUCCGGAUGGCAGACCCUCCUUCACCCCACAGGAGAGUUCAGCACCAGAGGAGCUGCCAGAUAGGCAUGUGUUCUACAUAGAAU